RNA transcript from Quercus robur (English oak), 1184 nucleotides. RefSeq lists it as uncharacterized. The record is from RefSeq and is a predicted model, not a curated record. The transcript has 7 exons. NCBI's taxonomy places the organism in Eukaryota, Viridiplantae, Streptophyta, Magnoliopsida, Fagales, Fagaceae.
CCACUCUCCCUCACACCGAUACCCACUCUCCCUCACACUCCAAACAGCCGGCGACGCUUCACCUUCCAUAGCACCGGCAACGCUUCACCUUCCAUACCACCGGCGACGCUUCGUCUUCCUUCGCGUUGGCGACGCUUAGCCUUCCUUCGCGCCGGCGACACUUCGCCUUCCAUAGCACCAGCGAUGCUUCGCCUUCUAUAGCGCCGGCAACCUUUCGUCUUCCUUCGCGCUGGCGACAGUUCGCCUUCCUCGCAAUGAUUCUCCUCUAAGUUGUCAAUCCCAGCAAUGAGCUCCGAUCUAAACAAAGCCAAGACCGGGCCUAUCGUCAGCGACACUUUUUGGAGGCCGAGUCGGCAAAUCAGGCAGCGCCGUCUUGAACCUCCCGCUGUUUUAUCUUGAAGUUUUCAUUGACAGACUUCAUAUGAGUAGUCUCGUGAAUGCCUUCGUAAAGAACUUGAUGGAUGCUGGUUUGAUUAUAUCCUGGAUACUCUCAGAAACAGCUCUUGAGGAAUCAUCCCAAUUUAAAGAUCCCUUUUUUGCGUUAGAGAUUGCUGUCUGCCAACAAGAUACUGAUGAUAUUGUACCUUUUAUAUUAAUUAAAAUUAAUUGUUGUAAUUAUUUGAGUUUCUUCCUCUUACAAGACAUUGUUCUUUUUUGGAGUAAAUAAAUAUUAUUUACGUAUUGCAAGUGACUGUUUCUGCUUGGCAAAGGAUGGUAGAAGCUGUGAAGGCUGAAUUAGUAGCUCUAAUGUAUAAGAAAACCAAGACUUGUUAGAGUACGUGGCGCUGGUGGACGCUUAACUUUUGGAGCAACGGGUGAAGCUGAAGUCGUUAGUGCCUGAGGGAAAAUAUUCUCAAAGUGCAAGAGGAACAUUGUCAAGAUCUUAAUGCAAUUCCCCUUACCUAUGGGGGUGGUUCAACUUCAAGUUAAAAAACUUUUUGAUUCUUAUUGGUGGUUUUUAGGAGAUUUACUUUUGGCAUUGCUUUGAAGACAUAUGAGGACAUCUUCCGUUAGUUCUAGUUAUAUUAUGCUACACUUUUUGUAUUAUUAUAAAACAUCUUGAGUAAUUGUAUAUGUUGCAAACAAUUAUUGUAUGGAAAGAGUUUGAAUUGGAUACUUGUUUUAUUUUUUACUUGUGGAAUGUAUGGAUCUCUUUUUAUGUUGAAAUAAAUGUGUUAUUCAAA